This 64-nucleotide transfer RNA is filed under the name Orientotermes emersoni. Its description in RNAcentral is "tRNA-Glu". It matches the Rfam family "tRNA". Rfam says of the family: Transfer RNA (tRNA) molecules are approximately 80 nucleotides in length. The record is from RNAcentral. Lineage: Eukaryota; Metazoa; Arthropoda; Insecta; Blattodea; Termitidae.
AUUUAUAUAGUUUAGAAAAACAUUACAUUUUCACUGUAAAAACAAAGGACACCUUUUAUAAAUA